GUUGGGAUAAUUCUGUAGUUCCAUCAAUGGAAUCACAUAAUCAUGCUUAGAAAUUUGGAUGUCUUUGUAGUUGCCAGAGAUGUGGGAAAAGGAAGGGAAAAUCUAGUAUUUACUUAUUUUACAGAAGAUUCAUGACAAAACUGUAACUUCUUCUUUGCUGGGUUUGAGGGAAUGUGAAAGUUUUUAUUGUGAUUGUUAUUUUUAUCAUUAUUAUUAUUUA
Molecule: unclassified non-coding RNA, 220 nt
Filed under: Hevea brasiliensis (rubber tree)
Lineage: Eukaryota; Viridiplantae; Streptophyta; Magnoliopsida; Malpighiales; Euphorbiaceae
Source: RNAcentral